AAAUUGAAGAGUUUGAUCAUGGCUCAGAUUGAACGCUGGCGGCAGGCCUAACACAUGCAAGUCGAACGGUAACAGGAAGCAGCUUGCUGCUUCGCUGACGAGUGGCGGACGGGUGAGUAAUGUCUGGGAAACUGCCUGAUGGAGGGGGAUAACUACUGGAAACGGUAGCUAAUACCGCAUAACGUCGCAAGACCAAAGAGGGGGACCUUCUGGCCUCUUGCCAUCGGAUGUGCCCAGAUGGGAUUAGCUAGUAGGUGGGGUAACGGCUCACC
This 272-nucleotide ribosomal RNA is filed under the name Escherichia coli. RNAcentral describes it as "partial 16S ribosomal RNA". It matches the Rfam family "Bacterial small subunit ribosomal RNA", at positions 1 to 269 of the family's 1533-position model. Lineage: Bacteria; Pseudomonadati; Pseudomonadota; Gammaproteobacteria; Enterobacterales; Enterobacteriaceae. The record is from RNAcentral.